UACGGAGGGUGCGAGCGUUAAUCGGAAUUACUGGGCGUAAAGCGUGCGCAGGCGGUUUUGUAAGACAGGCGUGAAAUCCCCGGGCUCAACCUGGGAACUGCGCUUGUGACUGCAAGGCUAGAGUACGGCAGAGGGGGGUGGAAUUCCACGUGUAGCAGUGAAAUGCGUAGAGAUGUGGAGGAACACCAAUGGCGAAGGCAGCCCCCUGGGUCGAUACUGACGCUCAUGCACGAAAGCGUGGGUAGCAAACAGG
This 253-nucleotide ribosomal RNA is filed under the name uncultured bacterium. Its description in RNAcentral is "partial 16S ribosomal RNA". It matches the Rfam family "Bacterial small subunit ribosomal RNA", at positions 524 to 776 of the family's 1533-position model. The record is from RNAcentral.